RNAcentral lists this RNase MRP RNA (305 nucleotides) under Saccharomyces x bayanus. RNAcentral describes it as "Saccharomyces bayanus partial RNase MRP RNA". It matches the Rfam family "RNase MRP", at positions 14 to 251 of the family's 266-position model. From Rfam's summary of the family: RNase MRP is an enzymatically active ribonucleoprotein with two distinct roles in eukaryotes. Lineage: Eukaryota; Fungi; Ascomycota; Saccharomycetes; Saccharomycetales; Saccharomycetaceae. The record is from RNAcentral.
AUCGUCACUAAUCGAAGCUUACAAAAAUGGAGUAAAGGAAUUUUUCUUCUUACUCAAUAUUAAUGCUUUGGGUUGAAAGUCUCCCACCAAUUCAUAUGCGGAAAACGUAAUGAGAUUUAAAAAAUUUAAAUUCUUUAAAUCAACUCAUUAAGAGAAAUAUCUUUAGAUAUUUCUCUUCUUGACCCAGUACUCUGUUACAGGAGCGCUGGUGUUUUCUUCGGUACUGGAUUCCUUAUAUAUGGAAUCUAAACCAUAGUUAUGACGAUUGCUCUUUCCCAUGCUGGAUCGAGUAACCCAAUGGAGCU